CAGUCGCCGCGGUAAAACGGAGGGGGCUAGCGUUGUUCGGAAUUACUGGGCGUAAAGGGCUCGCAGGCGGUUUCUUAAGUCUGAUGUGAAAGCCCCCGGCUCAACCGGGGAGGGUCAUUGGAAACUGGGAAACUUGAGUGCAGAAGAGGGGAGUGGAAUUCCACGUGUAGCGGUGAAAUGCGUAGAGAUGUGGAGGAACACCAGUGGCGAAGGCGACUCUCUGGUCUGUAACUGACGCUGAGGAGCGAAAGCGGGGGAGCGAACAGGAUUAGAUACCCCUGUAGUCCCUGUCUCUUAUACC
RNAcentral lists this ribosomal RNA (301 nucleotides) under uncultured bacterium. Its description in RNAcentral is "partial 16S ribosomal RNA". It matches the Rfam family "Bacterial small subunit ribosomal RNA", at positions 509 to 808 of the family's 1533-position model. The record is from RNAcentral.